GGAAGCGUGGCUGAGUGGUCGAAAGCAGCAGUUUCGAAAACUGCCAGGGCUGCAAGGUCCUCGGAGGUUCGAAUCCUCCCGCUUCCGCCA
This 90-nucleotide transfer RNA is filed under the name Candidatus Zambryskiibacteriota bacterium. RNAcentral's name for it is "Candidatus Zambryskibacteria bacterium tRNA-Ser". It matches the Rfam family "tRNA". From Rfam's summary of the family: Transfer RNA (tRNA) molecules are approximately 80 nucleotides in length. Their secondary structure includes four short double-helical elements and three loops (D, anti-codon, and T loops). Further hydrogen bonds mediate the characteristic L-shaped molecular structure. tRNAs have two regions of fundamental functional importance: the anti-codon, which is responsible for specific mRNA codon recognition, and the 3' end, to which the tRNAs corresponding amino acid is attached (by aminoacyl-tRNA synthetases). tRNAs cope with the degeneracy of the genetic code in two manners: having more than one tRNA (with a specific anti-codon) for a particular amino acid; and 'wobble' base-pairing, i.e. permitting non-standard base-pairing at the 3rd anti-codon position. The record is from RNAcentral. Lineage: Bacteria; Candidatus Zambryskiibacteriota.